This 264-nucleotide long non-coding RNA is filed under the name Phoenix dactylifera (date palm). RNAcentral describes it as "long non-coding RNA (PDAC_LNC000132)". The record is from RNAcentral. Lineage: Eukaryota; Viridiplantae; Streptophyta; Magnoliopsida; Arecales; Arecaceae.
GGUAGAGGAAUAAAGGAGGAAAAGAAAAGGGAAAGCUGAGCAGUCUUUUUAGCAGGCAAAUGGUAUGUAUUGCACUCCUAACUGCUGCAACUUACAUGAAUUAUAUACCUCCCCGCCAACUUUAUAAAAGCUGGCUGAGGAUAUCCCAUGCAGCAGCACCCCACACAACCCUUUGUGUGGGUGUGUGUGCGUGUGAAUAUUCGGAUUUGAGCUUUAUUUUCCUUUAUGAAAGGGUUUGAUGAACACCAACAGUUCUUCCAACCC